Molecule: ribosomal RNA, 465 nt
Filed under: Vreelandella stevensii
Lineage: Bacteria; Pseudomonadati; Pseudomonadota; Gammaproteobacteria; Oceanospirillales; Halomonadaceae
Description: partial 16S ribosomal RNA
Rfam family: Bacterial small subunit ribosomal RNA
Source: RNAcentral
CCUACGGGUGGCAGCAGUGGGGAAUAUUGGACAAUGGGCGAAAGCCUGAUCCAGCCAUGCCGCGUGUGUGAAGAAGGCCUUCGGGUUGUAAAGCACUUUCAGUGGGGAAGAAAGCCUUGGGGCUAAUACCCUCGAGGAAGGACAUCACCCACAGAAGAAGCACCGGCUAACUCCGUGCCAGCAGCCGCGGUAAUACGGAGGGUGCGAGCGUUAAUCGGAAUUACUGGGCGUAAAGCGCGCGUAGGCGGUCUGAUAAGCCGGUUGUGAAAGCCCCGGGCUCAACCUGGGAACGGCAUCCGGAACUGUCAGGCUAGAGUGCAGGAGAGGAAGGUAGAAUUCCCGGUGUAGCAGUGAAAUGCGUAGAGAUCGGGAGGAAUACCAGUGGCGAAGGCGGCCUUCUGGACUGACACUGACGCUGAGGUGCGAAAGCGUGGGUAGCAAACAGGAUUAGAUACCCUGGUAGUC